AGGAGGACCUUGAUUGACAGUGGAGCCACAUGAAUCAGAACUAGAGAAGGGGCAAUUCUCUCAAGAACUAAAAAAGGGAAGAACACUGCUUCCCUUCCCUCAGAAGAAUGAGAAUGGGAGAACUUGUCAGAUGGGAAAACUCAGAUGGCUGGACAAUCUGAAUAAUGAGGAACUGGAACGAUAUGGAGACUUCUUUACUCCCAAAUCUUACGUCUGGCCUGGGAUAACUCAAAGGAUUGUGCCUGUCUUUGGAUGACAUUCCAGGAUACCUGUCCACAGCCUGUGCAUGCGGCUUAGGCUUUCCUUGCUAAGCCAUGUAGUGAGGCUUUUACAUGAUCCAAAAGAAAGUACUCAGGCUAGAAAAAUGAAAGCUGUCAGGCAUUUUGUGACCAUCUUUAAUAGCCCCAUACAUCACCAAUACCACAUUCCACUGGUCGGAACAGUUAUGAGCUCUCCACGAUUCAAAGACAUUGAGUAUGGACCCCUCCUCUUGAUGACAGAUGUGUGGAAGACACUGUAGCCAUGUUCGAUAUUUCUUCAUUAAAGUUGUGCAAUCAUGCCA
Long non-coding RNA from Chinchilla lanigera (long-tailed chinchilla), 562 nucleotides. RefSeq lists it as uncharacterized. Lineage: Eukaryota; Metazoa; Chordata; Mammalia; Rodentia; Chinchillidae. The record is from RefSeq and is a predicted model, not a curated record. The transcript has 2 exons.